GCCCUUCGGGGUGGAUUAGUGGCGAACGGGUGAGUAACACGUGGGCAAUCUGCCCUUCACUCUGGGACAAGCCCUGGAAACGGGGUCUAAUACCGGAUACCACUCCUGCCUGCAUGGGCGGGGGUUGAAAGCUCCGGCGGUGAAGGAUGAGCCCGCGGCCUAUCAGCUUGUUGGUGGGGUAAUGGCCCACCAAGGCGACGACGGGUAGCCGGCCUGAGAGGGCGACCGGCCACACUGGGACUGAGACACGGCCCAGACUCCUACGGGAGGCAGCAGUGGGGAAUAUUGCACAAUGGGCGAAAGCCUGAUGCAGCGACGCCGCGUGAGGGAUGACGGCCUUCGGGUUGUAAACCUCUUUCAGCAGGGAAGAAGCGAAAGUGACGGUACCUGCAGAAGAAGCGCCGGCUAACUACGUGCCAGCAGCCGCGGUAAUACGUAGGGCGCAAGCGUUGUCCGGAAUUAUUGGGCGUAAAGAGCUCGUAGGCGGCUUGUCACGUCGGAUGUGAAAGCCCGAGGCUUAACCUCGGGUCUGCAUUCGAUACGGGCUAGCUAGAGUGUGGUAGGGGAGAUCGGAAUUCCUGGUGUAGCGGUGAAAUGCGCAGAUAUCAGGAGGAACACCGGUGGCGAAGGCGGAUCUCUGGGCCAUUACUGACGCUGAGGAGCGAAAGCGUGGGGAGCGAACAGGAU
This 687-nucleotide ribosomal RNA is filed under the name Streptomyces sp. ST-98. Its description in RNAcentral is "bacterial SSU rRNA". It matches the Rfam family "Bacterial small subunit ribosomal RNA", at positions 75 to 778 of the family's 1533-position model. The record is from RNAcentral. Lineage: Bacteria; Bacillati; Actinomycetota; Actinomycetes; Kitasatosporales; Streptomycetaceae.